This 950-nucleotide long non-coding RNA is filed under the name Anser brachyrhynchus (Pink-footed goose). RNAcentral describes it as "lncRNA (ENSABRG00000001046.1)". Lineage: Eukaryota; Metazoa; Chordata; Aves; Anseriformes; Anatidae. The record is from RNAcentral.
CCUCCCCGAGCCCCGCUGCCUCCCGCCUCCCUCCUCCCCGGCGCCCGCCUCCCCGCGGCGUGCCCGCCUCCCUCCCUCCGUCCCCCGGCCGGCAGCCGGGCAGCGGGCGGGCGCUGCCGCCGGCCCCACAGCACCGCGGCCGGGCUGCGCGGAGCGGAGCGGAGCGGAGCGGGGCUGGCUGGGCGGGGAGGGAGGGAGGGAGGGGAGUGGAUGUGUGUGUGUGUGGAAAGAGCGGGGGGGGGCGAAGGGGGGGAAAUCAAAUAAAUAAAUAAGCUCCCCACCAAUAAGAGAGGCAGCGGCUGGCGAGCAGGCUGGGCUCGGCUGGGAGAGGUCCUCGCUCGGCUGCGUGUUUGUUUGUGUUGUGACCAGAGCCGCGAAGUUCAGAGCCCAAACGUGUUGCUCCGCUCCGCUCCACCUGCUCGGCCGGCGGGGGGGUGCCGCUUCGGCCGCCCCGCCGCCCUCCGGGGCCGAAGGACGGGAGAGGAGCGCGGGGCCGCGCCCGCCGCCCGCCCGCCUUCCCCUCAGCCACCGCCGGGGAGGCGACGGACAGGUGUAUCUCCAGAAAAACAAAAAAUUAAUGACAGGAUCAGAAUACACUCUGGAUUUUCUUCCCAUGUGCAGACUACACCUGAAGUGUUGAAUUCACAUACAGCAACACCUUCCUCUUGGAUAGUCAAAAGCUGAUGACCCUGGAUGAAUGCUGAUGCUCUUUAUAGGUAUGUGGAGUUGCAGAGGGAGGAACUGAACUCCAUAAAAUCUCUGAGUGCAGCCAAGUGAAUCAAGUGUUUGCCUCCUUUGUUCUGAACUUUCUGUUUGUUGUCCUAGGUACGUUUAUAAUUCUUUGGCAUGUGGUAUUUUUUAAUGGCAAAGCUGUUUUUCAGUAGUAACCAUUUGUGCGUAUGAAAUAAUUGAAGUUCACACAAUAAAGCAUAGUUCAAUUUACUUGAACA